Molecule: ribosomal RNA, 474 nt
Filed under: uncultured organism
Description: partial 16S ribosomal RNA
Rfam family: Bacterial small subunit ribosomal RNA
Source: RNAcentral
UACACUCCUGCGGGAGGCAGCAGUGGGGAAUAUUGCACAAUGGGCGCAAGCCUGAUGCAGCCAUGCCGCGUGUAUGAAGAAGGCCUUCGGGUUGUAAAGUACUUUCAGCGGGGAGGAAGGCAAUACGGUUAAUAACCGUGUUGAUUGACGUUACCCGCAGAAGAAGCACCGGCUAACUCCGUGCCAGCAGCCGCGGUAAUACGGAGGGUGCAAGCGUUAAUCGGAAUUACUGGGCGUAAAGCGCACGCAGGCGGUCUGUCAAGUCGGAUGUGAAAUCCCCGGGCUCAACCUGGGAACUGCAUUCGAAACUGGCAGGCUUGAGUCUUGUAGAGGGGGGUAGAAUUCCAGGUGUAGCGGUGAAAUGCGUAGAGAUCUGGAGGAAUACCGGUGGCGAAGGCGGCCCCCUGGACAAAGACUGACGCUCAGGUGCGAAAGCGUGGGGAGCAAACAGAAUUAGAAACCCGGGUAGUCCCA